GAUGAACGCUGGCGGCGUGCCUAAUACAUGCAAGUCGAGCGAACGGACGAGAAGCUUGCUUCUCUGAUGUUAGCGGCGGACGGGUGAGUAACACGUGGAUAACCUACCUAUAAGACUGGGAUAACUUCGGGAAACCGGAGCUAAUACCGGAUAAUAUUUUGAACCGCAUGGUUCAAAACUGAAAGACGGUCUUGCUGUCACUUAUAGAUGGAUCCGCGCUGCAUUAGCUAGUUGGCAAGGUAACGGCUUACCAAGGCAACGAUGCAUAGCCGACCUGAGAGGGUGAUCGGCCACACUGGAACUGAGACACGGUCCAGACUCCUACGGGAGGCAGCAGUAGGGAAUCUUCCGCAAUGGGCGAAAGCCUGACGGAGCAACGCCGCGUGAGUGAUGAAGGUCUUCGGAUCGUAAAACUCUGUUAUUAGGGAAGAACAUAUGUGUAAGUAACUGUGCACAUCUUGACGGUACCUAAUCAGAAAGCCACGGCUAACUACGUG
Molecule: ribosomal RNA, 497 nt
Filed under: uncultured bacterium
Lineage: Bacteria
Description: partial 16S ribosomal RNA
Rfam family: Bacterial small subunit ribosomal RNA
Source: RNAcentral